UUUUCUAGCAAUAAUAAAUCCUACCAACUCAAAUCUUAACUAAACAAAAUAUAAUCAAAUGCUCAAACAAUAAAAAGAAUUUCAUCUCCGGCCAUGGGCGACGACUGUUGCAUCUGCGACGGUUGUUGUGGAAGAGGAGGGAAGGUAGUCAUUGUAAGAAGACAGUUGCGCGAAGGCAAAGGUAGUUAUUGACGACCCAUUUAACGGCGAUGCGACAUUGAGCGGCGAUGCUUGGUAUUCGUUGCUAAAAUCUUAAAUCUUGAUGUUGUUGUGGUUUAUAUGGUUUAAAAUGAGAGAGAAUGGAUUUGGGAAGAGUUGCAUCCACUAUUGCCAUUAAUAAUUGCAAAUAAGGUGUUAGAUAAAAUGUCUCAGUUGUUUUAAUUACUAGCAAUAGUUACAAAGGCAGUAUUAUUUUAUUGAUGAGAAUAGUUGUUUUUGUGAGGUCUUGUUGGAUGGACUUGAUACUGCAAAUUAUUGUAAACUUUGAAAAAUAAAAGUAUUGGAUGUUGUUCGGAACGAUGACAGUGGUAUUGUGACGGUGGAGAUGGUGGUAAGAUAAUAAUAGAAAGGUAUGUUUUAUUUUUGCAAAACCUAUAAAUUGGCCCCUAAACUAUUAGCUUUUGUUUCAAUAGGCCUCUAAUCUUUUUUAUUGAAC
This 655-nucleotide long non-coding RNA is filed under the name Ricinus communis (castor bean). RNAcentral's name for it is "long non-coding RNA (RCOM_LNC002331)". The record is from RNAcentral. Lineage: Eukaryota; Viridiplantae; Streptophyta; Magnoliopsida; Malpighiales; Euphorbiaceae.